Molecule: ribosomal RNA, 484 nt
Filed under: uncultured bacterium
Lineage: Bacteria
Description: partial 16S ribosomal RNA
Rfam family: Bacterial small subunit ribosomal RNA
Source: RNAcentral
AUUGAACGCUGGCGGCAUGCUUUACACAUGCAAGUCGAACGGCAGCGCGGGCUUUGGCCUGGCGGCGAGUGGCGAACGGGUGAGUAAUACAUCGGAACGUGCCCAGUAGUGGGGGAUAGCUCGGCGAAAGCCGGAUUCAUACCGCAUACGACCUGAGGGUGAAAGCGGGGGAUCUUCGGACCUCGCGCUAUUGGAGCGGCCGAUGGCAGAUUAGCUAGUUGGUGGGGUAAAGGCCUACCAAGGCGACGAUCUGUAGCUGGUCUGAGAGGACGACCAGCCACACUGGGACUGAGACACGGCCCAGACUCCUACGGGAGGCAGCAGUGGGGAAUUUUGGACAAUGGGCGAAAGCCUGAUCCAGCAAUGCCGCGUGUGUGAUGAAGGCCUUCGGGUUGUAAAGCACUUUUGGCGGGAACGAAAAGGACUGUGCCAAUACCACGGUUCGAUGACGGUACCCGCAGAAUAAGCACCGGCUAACUACGUG